RNAcentral lists this ribosomal RNA (497 nucleotides) under uncultured bacterium. RNAcentral's name for it is "partial 16S ribosomal RNA". It matches the Rfam family "Bacterial small subunit ribosomal RNA", at positions 28 to 507 of the family's 1533-position model. The record is from RNAcentral.
GACGAACGCUGGCGGCGUGCCUAAUACAUGCAAGUUGAGCGCUGAAGGUUGGUACUUGUACCAACUGGAUGAGCAGCGAACGGGUGAGUAACGCGUGGGGAAUCUGCCUUUGAGCGGGGGACAACAUUUGGAAACGAAUGCUAAUACCGCAUAAAAACUUUAAACACAAGUUUUAAGUUUGAAGGAUGCAAUUGCAUCACUCAAAGAUGAUCCCGCGUUGUAUUAGCUAGUUGGUGAGGUAAAGGCUCACCAAGGCGAUGAUACAUAGCCGACCUGAGAGGGUGAUCGGCCACAUUGGGACUGAGACACGGCCCAAACUCCUACGGGAGGCAGCAGUAGGGAAUCUUCGGCAAUGGACGAAAGUCUGACCGAGCAACGCCGCGUGAGUGAAGAAGGGUUUCGGAUCGUAAAACUCGGUUGGUAGAGAAGAACGUUGGUGAGAGUGGAAAGCUCAUCAAGUGACGGUAACUACCCAGAAAGGGACGGCUAACUACGUG